CUGUCUGAAAGAGAUGAAAUCACCUCCUUACAGCACUGGCCAGAUCAUCGACGAUCACCUCCCGGAGCUGAAGCUGCAGUCAUGAGUGUGUGUGCUCGUUCUCUCCUCCUGGUUCUGCUGAUCCUCCUGUACCUUCAGUCCUGUUUGAUGGCUGGCAAUUCAUACUACCUGUCGUGCUGUUACACUUUCAUUAAGACUCAAAUUCCUAUAAGAGCAGUAACAAUGUAUAAGAAAACUACAAAUGACUGUCCAAAAGCUGGAGUGAUUUUUACCACCUUGAACGGUCGUCAAAUGUGUGCAGAGCCUGGCCUUAUGUGGGUGCAGCAGAUUAUGCACACAGUUGACCGGAAACGUUUGGAAAGUUCCAGUAAGCUGCACAAACAUGAAGUUAAAACCAAAACCUGGCCUGCAUCUGAGACCUUGAGUCCUGACCCAACCACAGUUUCAGAUGGACAUGAAACCAAAGUCCAAACCCAACCUGAAACCAAGUCCUCGAAACCAGAGUCGACUCCAGUUAGACAUGAAUGUGAGACUGAAACUCAAACCCGUCCUACACCUGAGACCUCCAGGCCUGACUCUAAUGAGCCCAACUGGUUCUGCAAAAUUUGAAACCUCAAACUCAAAAUUUCAUAGAACAACACAGAUAUGGACACAUUGUUCCAUGAAUUCUUAUUUUCAAUAUGCUUCACUUGGCUGACAAGUUCAUAAUAAAAAGCUUGUGCAAUAAAUAAAGUAAAUAUCUGAAUUAAUGAGUUUAAUGAAUAGA
Long non-coding RNA from Pygocentrus nattereri (red-bellied piranha), 766 nucleotides. RefSeq lists it as uncharacterized. Lineage: Eukaryota; Metazoa; Chordata; Actinopteri; Characiformes; Serrasalmidae. The record is from RefSeq and is a predicted model, not a curated record. The transcript is spliced from 3 exons.